Molecule: ribosomal RNA, 253 nt
Filed under: uncultured bacterium
Lineage: Bacteria
Description: partial 16S ribosomal RNA
Rfam family: Bacterial small subunit ribosomal RNA
Source: RNAcentral
UACGUAGGGGGCUAGCGUUGUCCGGAAUCAUUGGGCGUAAAGAGCGUGUAGGCGGCCCGGUAAGUCCGCUGUAAAAGUCAAAGGCUCAACCUUUGAAUGUCAGUGGAUACUGCCGGGCUAGAGUCCGGAAGAGGCGAGUGGAACUCCUGGUGUAGCGGUGGAAUGCGCAGAUAUCGGGAAGAACACCAACGGCGAAGGCAGCUCGCUGGGACGGUACUGACGCUGAGACGCGAAAGCGUGGGGAGCGAACAGG